ACUCAAAUGAAUAGACGGGGGCCCGCACAAGCGGUGGAGCAUGUGGUUUAAUUCGACGCAACGCGCAGAACCUUACCAGCUCUUGACAUGAUACUUGCAAUCUAUGGAGACAUAGGUUUCACUUCGGGUGGGGUAUCACAGGUGCUGCAUGGCUGUCGUCAGCUCGUGUCGUGAGAUGUUGGGUUAAGUCCCGCAACGAGCGCAACCCUCAUCUUCAGUUACUAACGGGUAAAGCCGAGGACUCUGGAGAAACUGCCGGUGACAAACCGGAGGAAGGUGGGGAUGACGUCAAGUCCUCAUGGCCCUUAUGGGCUGGGCUACACACGUGCUACAAUGGCGGUAACAAAGGGAAGCAAAAUCGCAAGGUGGAGCGAAUCCUCAAAAGCCGCCUCAGUUCAGAUUGUCCUCUGCAACUCGAGGGCAUGAAGUUGGAAUCGCUAGUAAUCGUAGAUCAGCAUGCUACGGUGAAUACGUUCUCGGGCCUUGCACACACCGCCCGU
RNAcentral lists this ribosomal RNA (500 nucleotides) under uncultured bacterium. RNAcentral's name for it is "partial 16S ribosomal RNA". It matches the Rfam family "Bacterial small subunit ribosomal RNA", at positions 899 to 1397 of the family's 1533-position model. The record is from RNAcentral.